AGUCGUAACAAGGUUUCACCACGGAAGCCUUUGUUCCCUACGACUCUAAAAAGGAUCAUUACAGGGUUCAUGCCCUCACGGGUAGAUCUCCCACCCUUGAAUAUUAUACCUUAGUUGCUUUGGCAGGCCGGGGCAACCCCCGGGGCUUCGGCCUUGGUGUGCCUGCCAGAGGAAACAAACUUUGUUUUUAGUGAUGUCUGAGUACUAUAUAAUAGUUAAAACUUUCAACAACGGAUCUCUUGGUUCUGGCAUCGAUGAAGAACGCAGCGAAAUGCGAUAAGUAAUGUGAAUUGCAGAAUUCAGUGAAUCAUCGAAUCUUUGAACGCACAUUGCGCCCCGUGGUAUUCCGCGGGGCAUGCCUGUUCGAGCGUCAUUUCAACCCAUCAAGCUUCGGCUUGGUCUUGGGGCCUGCGAUUCCGCAGCCUCUAAACCCAGUGGCGGUGCCUCCGAGCUCUGAGCGUAGUAAUUCUUCUCGCUAUAGGGUCUCGGUGGUGUCUUGCCAGUAACCCCCAAUUUUUUACAGGUUGACCUCGGAUCAGGUAGGGAUACCCGCUGAACUUAAGCAUAUCAAUAAGCGGAGGAAAAGAAACCAACAGGGAUUACCUCAGUAACGGCGAGUGAAGCGGUAACAGCUCAAAUUUGAAAUCUGCCGCAAGGCCGAGUUGUAAUUUGUAGAAGAUGCUUUGGGUAUGGCCCCGGUCUAAGUUCGUUGGAACACGACGUCAUAGAGGGUGAGAAUCCCGUAUGUGACUGGGUGCUUUUGCCUAUGUAAAGCUCUUUCGACGAGUCGAGUUGUUUGGGAAUGCAGCUCAAAAUGGGUGGUAUAUUUCAUCUAAAGCUAAAUAUUGGCCAGAGACCGAUAGCGCACAAGUAGAGUGAUCGAAAGAUGAAAAGCACUUUGGAAAGAGAGUUAAACAGUACGUGAAAUUGUUGAAAGGGAAGCGCUUGCAACCAGACUUGCACGCUGUUGAUCAUCCAGGCUUCUGUCUGGUGCACUCGGCAGCGUUCAGGCCAGCAUCGGUUCUGGUGGUGGGAUAAAGGCCUUGGGAAUGUAGCUUCUUUCGGGGAGUGUUAUAGCCCUCGGUGCAAUGCCGCCUAUCGGGACCGAGGACCGCGCUUCGGCUAGGAUGCUGGCGUAAUGGUUGUAAGCGAC
Molecule: ribosomal RNA, 1153 nt
Filed under: uncultured Lemonniera
Lineage: Eukaryota; Fungi; Ascomycota
Description: eukaryotic LSU rRNA
Rfam family: Eukaryotic large subunit ribosomal RNA (bases 526-1153)
Source: RNAcentral